Molecule: ribosomal RNA, 283 nt
Filed under: uncultured bacterium
Lineage: Bacteria
Description: partial 16S ribosomal RNA
Rfam family: Bacterial small subunit ribosomal RNA
Source: RNAcentral
AACGUGCCCAAUAGUGGGGGAUAGCCCGGCGAAAGCCGGAUUAAUACCGCAUGAGACCUGAGGGUGAAAGCGGGGGAUUCGCAAGAACCUCGCGCUAAUGGAGCGGCCGAUAUCAGAUUAGGUAGUUGGUGGGGUAAAAGCCUACCAAGCCGACGAUCUGUAGCUGGUCUGAGAGGACGACCAGCCACACUGGGACUGAGACACGGCCCAGACUCCUACGGGAGGCAGCAGUGGGGAAUUUUGGACAAUGGGCGCAAGCCUGAUCCAGCCAUGCCGCGUGCGG